AGGAGCUGCAGCAGCAUGAAAAGUUCCUUCAUCUAGCAUUGAAAUCGCUCGAGACCUGUAAUCCAAGCUUCUGUUCAUCCAGGUGAGUCCCGUCGCCAUCACCCUUUGGUUCAAGCCUCUUAAGCCCUUGUGUUUUUUGUGAGAUGCAGACAGUUUCUGUCAAGGGGCUAAGGUCUGAUCGUAUGCCUGAUCUUAAUCCGCAUUUUCUUUUCUUGUCAAUCUGCGAUGAUGAGUAAAUAGUUCUACGGUGCUUGCUUAUGAUAGCUGAUAACUGAUAUCUCCACAAAGUAUCAUGGACCUAGCAAACCCAUGGAAGCAUACUGAAUAAAAUCCAUGUUUUGAUUGUGGUAAAUUGAAGUCGCAUAUUCACACUGUUAUUUCAAAAAAUAAGAGUAGUGUUUGAAAAUUUAACAAUGGACAUAUUCUUUUGCUAAUAUUGGAAACUUACUAUAAUCAUCUAAAGAUACUUCUCCUGCUGAUACUACGCAUAAAUUAUGUACAAAGAGUGAUAUUCCUUUUAGCACACAUGGUCAGUCCUAACUAUGAUGAAAAGCUGAUCUCUAGGGCCAUAGCUCUAGAUGAAUAGAAAUAGGUUUCUUAUUCUGUAGUUAGCACUUUUGUCUAUUUUAUUUAUAUUAUAUAAAUAAUAACCAAUAGUAUAUGGAUGUAGUUUGUCUUGGAUGGUACUACUAUGCACACUAUGCAGCUAAGAAGUAAGCCUUUUGCUUUAUUAAUUAGUCAAUUUUUUGAUAACCUGUAAUUUUUCAAAUGUGUUACCUUCACUGAUAAACCUAUAACUUAUUUGUCCUCAAAUCUGCAGGAGCUGCAGCAGCAUAAAAAGUUCCUUCAUCCAGCAUUGAAAUCGCUCGAGACCUAUAAUCCAAGCUUCUGUUCAUCUAGGUGAGUCCCGUCGCCAUCACCCUUUGGUUCAAGCCUCUUAAGCCCUUGUGUUUUUGUCAGAUGCAGCCAUGGACAGUUUCUGUCAAGGGGCUAAGGUCUGAUCGCAUGCCUGAUCUGUACAACACAUUAAUCUUAAUCCGCAUUUUCUUUUCUUGUCAAUCUGCGAAGAUGAGUAAAUAGAAUCUUUUUGUAUGAAAAGAAGGAAUACCCUUGAUUUAAAUUGUUUAUUUAUUGGACCCUUACUCUUUGCUGCUGCAAGUAUACCUUUUAUUUUAAGCUACAUUUAUUCAUGCAGGUGCUUGCUUAUUAAAUAGAUUUUUUUGUAUGAAAAGAAGCAAUGCCUUUGAUUUAAAUUGUUUAUUUAUUGGACCCUUACUCUUUGGUGCAGCAAGUAUACCUUUUGUUUUUAGCUACAUUUAUUCACGCAGGUGCCUGCUUAUUAGAUAGAACAUCCCUUUUCUAUUCACGCAAGUAUAUUAUUGGUGCUGCAUCCCUUUUCUAUGUAUCAAGUGUUAUAAACAUGCCAUAAAAAUAAACUGGGUUUUUACUUUUUAGUGUACUUUGAUUUGAAUAUGAUAUGAAUUUAGUCACCUGACAUAUUUUUUGUAUGCAGUUGGAAUCAAGCAAAAAAGUAUGGGUUAAAGUAACAAACUAAAAUAGCUCUCAAGCUGGUAUUCUUUUUACCAAACUUUGUGGCUCCUUUUUACUCUUCUGUUAGCCUAUUACUAUAUUGAAUACUGUUUGGGGGUAAGAAUUUUGCAACUUAGUUUUGUUCACAGCCUUUGAUGUUUUCUACUACUUGUGACAAGAGACAACCUCUUCCACUAUAAAUUUGUUGAUUUUGCAGCCUGCCUGUGUUGCAUCUCUUCUUGUAAUGCUAGGCCCGGAAUGGAUCCAAGACAAAGUUUGA
This 1810-nucleotide long non-coding RNA is filed under the name Sorghum bicolor (sorghum). Its description in RNAcentral is "long non-coding RNA (SBIC_LNC000727)". Lineage: Eukaryota; Viridiplantae; Streptophyta; Magnoliopsida; Poales; Poaceae. The record is from RNAcentral.